ACCGAGAUGGCUGAGACCAAGCAGAAGAUUGUAGCUCUUCCAACGGAACUAAUACUCCUCUCGUUA
RNAcentral lists this transfer RNA (66 nucleotides) under Eulepethus nanhaiensis. RNAcentral's name for it is "tRNA-Tyr". The record is from RNAcentral. Lineage: Eukaryota; Metazoa; Annelida; Polychaeta; Phyllodocida; Eulepethidae.